RNAcentral lists this ribosomal RNA (575 nucleotides) under Systellaspis debilis. Its description in RNAcentral is "partial 16S ribosomal RNA". It matches the Rfam family "Bacterial large subunit ribosomal RNA", at positions 1795 to 2649 of the family's 2925-position model. The record is from RNAcentral. Lineage: Eukaryota; Metazoa; Arthropoda; Malacostraca; Decapoda; Oplophoridae.
UUCGCCUGUUUAUUCAAAAACAUGUCUUUAUGUUAAGAUAUAAAGUCUGGCCUGCCCACUGAAUUUUAAAGGGCCGCGGUAAUUUGACCGUGCGAAGGUAGCAUAAUCAAUAGUCUUUUAAUUGGAGGCUGGAAUGAAUGGUUGGACAGAAAGUAUUCUGUCUUUUUUGUGCAGAUUGAAUUUAACUUUUAAGUGAAAAGGCUUAAAUGAUUUAGGGGGACGAUAAGACCCUAUAAAACUUUACAUUAGGUUGUCUGGUUUUAAAGAUAAUAAAAAAGGUUGGCGGAGUUAUGUUGGGUUGGGGCGACUAAAAUAAAGUAGUUAACUGUUUGUUAAUUAGUAUAGAUAUAUCUAGAUAGGUUUGAUCCUUUAUUAGGGGUUAUUAGAAAAAGUUACUUUAGGGAUAACAGCGUUAUUUUCCCUGAGAGUUCGUAUCGACGGGAGUAGUUGCGACCUCGAUGUUGAAUUAAAGUUUCAACUAGGCGGAGAAGUUUAGUUAGUGGAUCUGUUCGAUCUUUAAAAUUUUACAUGAUUUGAGUUCAAACCGGUGUGAGCCAGGUGGGUUUCUAUCUAAA